Molecule: long non-coding RNA, 282 nt
Filed under: Mytilus galloprovincialis (Mediterranean mussel)
Lineage: Eukaryota; Metazoa; Mollusca; Bivalvia; Mytilida; Mytilidae
Source: RNAcentral
AGAGAGAGAGAGAUGAGUUGGUCAAUCGGAAUCGGAGACUUUUGGUGUCUUUUCCGUCUAUCCCGGAUAUUAGUUUGACAACCUAGUUACAAGUGUUGAUGAAGCUGUUCAUUCAGAAAAAGAUCUUAGCUCCGAAGUUGCGUGCACAUUGAUUCGGCAUGCAAAAAAAGAAAUGGCAAAAUAAAAAUUUAUAAAUUGAAUGUUAAAGGAAACAACUAUGUUGUCACUUUUUUUAAUUGAUGAAAUAUCAUUAAAUAACGACAUUUGGUUUCAAAAUAAUUG